RNAcentral lists this ribosomal RNA (440 nucleotides) under uncultured bacterium. RNAcentral's name for it is "partial 16S ribosomal RNA". It matches the Rfam family "Bacterial small subunit ribosomal RNA", at positions 338 to 795 of the family's 1533-position model. The record is from RNAcentral.
CCUACGGGAGGCUGCAGUGGGGGAUAUUGCACAAUGGAGGGAACUCUGAUGCAGCGACGCCGCGUGGGUGAAGAAGCGCCUCUGCGCGGAAAGCCCUGUCAGCAGGGGAGAAAAUUACGGUACCUGAAGAAGAAGCCACGGAUAACUACGGGCCAGCAGCCGCGACAAUACGCAGGGGGCCAGCGUUAUCCGGAUUUACUGGGUGUAAAGGGGGCGUAGACGGCGAUGCAAGACAGGAGUGAAAGCCCGGGGCCCAACCCCGGGACUGCUCUUGGAACUGCGUGGCUGGAGUGCAGGAGGGGCAGGCGGAAUUCCUGGUGUAGCGGUGAAAUGCGUAGAUAUCAGGAGGAACACCGGUGGCGAAGGCGGCCUGCUGGACUGCAACUGACGUUGAGGCCCGAAAGCGUGGGGAGCAAACAGGAUUAGAUACCCGUGUAGUC